GCAAAGGCAAUGUCAGGCACGCUGGUAAAGGACCACUAGAAUCCAGCAGCCCAGACCCCUUUCUUUGUGGUCAAGAAGGGCAGGAAAACAGGUGCAGGACUGCUACAUCGGGAAAGGAAGAAAAUCCUACUGCCUUUCUGGAGAGACUAAGGGAGGCAUUGAGGAAGCAUACCUCUCUGUCAUCUGGAUCUAUUGAAGGCCAACUAAUCUUAAAGGGUAAGUUUAUC
This 227-nucleotide long non-coding RNA is filed under the name Homo sapiens (human). The record is from RNAcentral. Lineage: Eukaryota; Metazoa; Chordata; Mammalia; Primates; Hominidae.